GAUGAACGCUGGCGGUGCGCCUAACACAUGCAAGUCGAGCGAGAUUCGCUUAUUUGACCUCUUCGGAGUGAUUAUUAGCGUUGAAAGCGGCGAACGGGUGAGUAACACAUUGGUACCUGCCCAUCACUCAGGGAUAGCCCAUCGAAAGAUGGAUUAAUACCGGAUAGUCCCUACGGGGUAAAGAUUUAUCGGUGAUGGAGGGGCCUGUGGCCUAUCAGCUUGUUGGUAGUGUAAUAGACUACCAAGGCUAUGACGGGUAGCUGGUCUGAGAGGAUGAUCAGCCACAAUGGAACUGAGACACGGUCCAUACACCUACGGGUGGCAGCAGUGAGGAAUCUUCCGCAAUGGGCGAAAGCCUGACGGAGCGACACCGCGUGGAGGAUGAAGGUUUUGCUAUUGUAAACUCCUUUUCUGUGGGAAGAUAAUGACGGUACCACAGGAAUAAGGGACGGCUAACUACG
RNAcentral lists this ribosomal RNA (461 nucleotides) under uncultured bacterium. RNAcentral's name for it is "bacterial SSU rRNA". It matches the Rfam family "Bacterial small subunit ribosomal RNA", at positions 28 to 505 of the family's 1533-position model. The record is from RNAcentral.